This 2987-nucleotide long non-coding RNA is filed under the name Cottoperca gobio. RNAcentral describes it as "lncRNA (ENSCGOG00000021052.1)". Lineage: Eukaryota; Metazoa; Chordata; Actinopteri; Perciformes; Bovichtidae. The record is from RNAcentral.
AUGAGACCAAAAUCAUGCAGCUGGUGCAAAUGGUUGAAGAGCAGCUUUCAAUUUACUUUGGGUAUGUCGUUUGCAGGUAUUUUCGGGUAAAUUCGCCCGCCUCCUAAGAGGUUUUAAAUAUCAAAGUCUAGUUUUAACGAGACAGUAGAUGGCAGUAUUGCUGCAUCGCAUGGACAUCACUCACUAUUAAACUCAUGAAGAAGAAACCUUCAGCUGUGAUUGGUUGGAAUUAUCCAUCGAGCGCGAGGAAAACUGACGUUGGAACCAGAGCUGCGCUCCUAUUUCAAAGUUUAGUUGACGUUAGUUAAAGUGUUUUAUUCAACAAACUCGAACUUCGAGUUAAGGGUUUAAAGUCUUUUCCCAGACAUAAACCUCCCUCAAGCAGUUAGGCUGCAGGCACAGAGAGACUGAGAGAUCACCUGAAACAAUUUCUUCUCUCCAAUCAUUACUGGCAUGGAUUCUCCUGUAUACUGGCUGAAAGAUGAAUGCUUGCCAGAAAUUACCUUCCUUGAUGAUACAUGUUAUUCAGAUCACAGUAUGAGUGAUAAAGAAAAUGACUCUGAUGUCCACUCUCCUGUAAAACAUAAUGGGACAACAGCUUCAGACUCUGAUGACAAGAUGGUUGACCUUUCUGAGAGUAUGUAUGCUCCCGUUUGCUUUCUGGAUGUCCGAUACUUCCCAGAAAUAACUCUUCUUGAUGUUACGCGUGAUUCCGAGCUAUUACAAUUUGAGGAAUUAUCCUCCAUGGAGGUCAUACAGGAUAUUUCACCAGUGGAUAGUUUGAAAAACAGCAUGCCUCCCUCGGAGUUCAAUAACCAAAUUGUGGCAGAGCCUUGCAGAUCAGACAUGAUUCAAAGAGAAGAAUUGCCAAGUAGUACUCUUACUGGCAAUGUCACCCACACCACAAUCUCUUUUAGUGAACGAUCUGAUAAGAGUGAGGGGGGAGACAUUAGGCAAACCUCCUUGGAAGUAACUCAGGAUAUUUCUACAAGCAGUGUUUUGGAAAACAGCAGGCCUUCAUUGGAGCCCAGUGGACCAAACAUGGUGAAGAUUCAAACAUCAGCUGAGGAUACAUCUGCUAAUGUUACACACAACAAAAACUCCUCAAGUGACAUGGCUGUUCAGUGUGCUGCAUCACAGUUAUCUACAUCUGAUAUGCAGUGCAACACAAGUUUAAAGAAUGUCACCUUUGAGCUUUAUGUUGAACCUGUGGUGAACUCUAAUACUGUGGAAGCCAACAAUGAAGAGCUACUUACCAGCCAUGAUGUAGAGUUGACUAGCAAUGAGCCACAACCAAGGCCAAAAACAUCUGGGUUUGUGAACGGCGCGUUCACCUCCCUCCAGGCCGCGCAGUUGAGUUCCUCCACCGAUUUGAGCACCACUGCUCAAAUACAAUGCCCUCAGAAUAAGACCCUGGAUCUUCCCCAAUUUAAUGUAAACAGUCCCAAUGCGGUUGAGGCUACUUCGGUCUUUAAGAACAUCACCGAAACUUCCCUUGAAAUGAAUCAAAAUUGCUCCGCUGUAAAGACAAGUGGUCCAGGUGAUAUGCAGAACGCCACUUUUGAUAGACAUUCUCUUCAAAAAUCUAGUGUCAAUACUAUUUUAGGGGACGCUGGUGCUACAACCUUUUGCCUCCAAAACAACACUUUCGAUACUAAGCCUCCUCCGAAGCAGAAUGGCACAAUAACUUUGUCAGAAUCAGGCUCAAGUGACGGUAACCAGAACACCUUCGACAAGCCCUCUCCUAAUGCAACAAGUAGCCCUAAAGAAAACAAUUCUGAAGUCCACCAUCCUGAACCGUUUAGACAUAAUGGGACUACAGCUACAGACCCUAAUGCCAAGAUGGUUGACACCCCUGAGAGCACGUUUGAAGCUAAUCCAGCUGUUGCGGUGGCUUCUGGAGCUGGCCGACGUGACACUAAGGAUCAUUCACAAUCAGCUGCUGAAUCCCUUUUGCUUCCUUCGAGUGCUGCAUCCCAGUUGUUGAAACACAAGCCGCCCUCUGCACUUCCAGGGAGGUUUGAGGCGUUGACAUUAGGCCUACCCAUGACGAGACAAAGAACCCUAGCCGAAGCUUUGAGAUAUACUUCUGCUUCUGAUCCUCCCCAGACCACAGGAAUAUCCAGCUCUUACAAGUUACGUGCGACAACAGGAUCCAAGCAACCUCAUUCAGGCUUGCAGAGACCGCAGUUGAGUGGCAUACUGUCAGGCAUCCAGAGAGCUGCAACAGGUCUCAGGCCGCAAUCAGUGAGAAACAACACAUCAGCUUCUUUAAGCUCUAAUAAACUUUGUGGACCUACUACAGAUACUCCCUUACCGUAUGGUAGUGGUGAAACCUCACCAUCUUCCUGUGAUGCUGCAAAUGCAUCCAAAAACCUGAAACGGCCCACAACCAGUAAGAGAGCUUUGCCAGCUAAAAACCAAAGGGAUGAUGCUGCAAUGGGAGCCAGUACUGCUGCUGAAAUCUCAACCUCUUGCGAUGCUGUUAGCAGAGCGAAACUGAAACUGCCUGCGAGCAGCCACAAAGCUCUGCUCGCUAAACCCCAAGGCCAUGGUUGCGCCAACUGCGUCAUGCUUGAACAACAACUCAAAAUGCAAUCAGAAGAAAUAAGGAAACUGAAUGAAGAGCUGCUGAAGAAAAGUCCAGUGGCCCCUGGACAUCCAGGACAAGGGCCCAUGAUGAGUGGAGGUCCGACCUUACAGCAGGUCACCAUCGGUGGUGGUUCAAGCCAACAAGCAGGAAAGAUGCUGAGCAGCAUCAAGACAAACCUCAAAUCUGCACCCGGCUCAAUGCAUCCUUACAACCGAUGAGCUCCUUGUUUCUUAAUUCACUAGUUAAGUCAUUAGUCCACUUCUUACUCUGGAAGUUAUGCAGUAAUGUAAAGUAAUGUUUCAUCUGUGAUAUUUUAAUAAAUAUGUGAAGUAUCUGAAGAGUGAAUUGUGCUUUGUAUUUUAUUAUUAUUAUUAUUAUUAUUAUUAUUAUUAUU